This 466-nucleotide ribosomal RNA is filed under the name uncultured Rhodobacter sp. Its description in RNAcentral is "bacterial SSU rRNA". It matches the Rfam family "Bacterial small subunit ribosomal RNA", at positions 9 to 522 of the family's 1533-position model. Lineage: Bacteria; Pseudomonadati; Pseudomonadota; Alphaproteobacteria; Rhodobacterales. The record is from RNAcentral.
GGAGUUUGAUCAUGGCUCAGAACGAACGCUGGCGGCAGGCCUAACACAUGCAAGUCGAGCGCCCCGCAAGGGGAGCGGCGGACGGGUGAGUAACGCGUGGGAACGUACCCUUUGCUACGGAAUAGCCUCGGGAAACUGGGAGUAAUACCGUAUGUGUCCUUCGGGAGAAAGAUUUAUCGGCAAGGGAUCGGCCCGCGUUGGAUUAGGUAGUUGGUGGGGUAAUGGCCUACCAAGCCGACGAUCCAUAGCUGGUUUGAGAGGAUGAUCAGCCACACUGGGACUGAGACACGGCCCAGACUCCUACGGGAGGCAGCAGUGGGGAAUCUUAGACAAUGGGCGCAAGCCUGAUCUAGCCAUGCCGCGUGAGCGAUGAAGGCCUUAGGGUUGUAAAGCUCUUUCAGGGGGGAAGAUAAUGACUGUACCCCCAGAAGAAGCCCCGGCUAACUCCGUGCCAGCAGCCGCGGUA